This 328-nucleotide ribosomal RNA is filed under the name uncultured eukaryote. Its description in RNAcentral is "partial 18S ribosomal RNA". It matches the Rfam family "Eukaryotic small subunit ribosomal RNA", at positions 1470 to 1796 of the family's 1831-position model. The record is from RNAcentral.
CCCUUAGAUGUCCUGGGCCGCACGCGCGUUACACUGAUGCAUUCAACGAGCCUAUAACCUUGGCCGAGAGGCCUGGGCAAUCUUGUUAACGUGCAUCGUGAUAGGGAUAGAUUAUUGAAAUUAUUAAUCUUGAACGAGGAAUUCCUAGUAAACGCAGAUCAUCAAUCUGCAUUGAUUACGUCCCUGCCCUUUGUACACACCGCCCGCCGCACCUACCGAUUGGAUGGUCCGGUGAAGCCUCGGGAUUGUGGUUCUUGCCGCUUUAUUGUGGCGUGACCGCGAGAACUUGUCUAAACCUUAUCAUCUAGAGGAAGGUGAAGUCGUAACA